AGUGCAUUUUACACCCGCGGAGGGGGCAGAAGGGGGGAGGGGGUGUGUGAGGCAGCCCUUAAUAAUCAUCUCAACACAGGCUGUUUUUGCAGAUAUUUCAAUGUGAUGUGUCUUUCCCCCUUUUUUUUCCCCUUCAGGAGACAUUAAAUAAUCAGAGCAAUAGUGCGAGCUGCUGCACACCGAGGCUGCUUGUACAACGGGGCUUCACCUCAGCUGAACUUGACGCAUCUGGUUCAUCGGCGGCGCAGGACGCGCGGCGCAGUCAGCAGCUCUGUGUCCCCGCUGAACCGAGCUGGAUGGCGGCGGAGUGAAACGCGGAGGAGGGGGGGAGAGAGAGCACAACUCAUCCGCGGUUGCUUAAGGAGACAGCUCUUCCUGCACAUUCAACGUGACGACUUUUUUUUUUCUUUUCUUUUUUGUACCUCUCAUCCUUCAAAUAAUGUCGCUUCGUGUUCGCUACUUGAUGCUUUUUGUGGACACCAGACAUACUGUGGAGGACAAGCCACCGAGUGACAGAUGUAAAGCCGGCAGACACGGUUGUUGGACACACGGAGGAAGAGAGAGACCCAAGUUGAACUUGAGACAGGUUAGUGCGCAGUCUUUUAUUCUGUCCUCGCUGAAAGGCCUGUUUGUGAGAGGUUUAUCUGAGCGGAAAGUGCUAAAAAAUAACAAAGCAGUGGUCGUUUUGUCGAGUGAAGCUAGACUUGUGUUAAAUAAUGAAACUGUAUAUCUCCUCUGGUGAAUAUUGACACUGUUCCAUCUAAACCGGUCCGCUGUCCUCGGGGAAGUUUCAAGAAAGAGCUUCAUAUCAACGACACAGCUUAAAAUAAUCGACAUAAAUGCAAAAUAAAGACUAAAGCAGCCUCUAGUUUUUUACGUGAAGAUGAAAUGGUCGCCAGACAGUAAAUUCUGGAUAGCAAUAGACGAAAAAGAGGUCGCCUUUUCGUGCCCUACUUUCCCUUCGCAGAGAGGCAUAAUCUUCCCCUUUGUUGUCCCCCGGUGCAAAACAUAGAUAGGCAGCCGGGCAGAUCCCGUCAGUCCAGCGGAAACAUCUCCACUCUUCUAAAUGAGCAAUUCAUAGGAUUUCAGGAAAAUAUGCUUUUAAUUAGAAACGCAGCAUCUCUGGAGCUGUCAGCCAGAGAUAAUCAGUGUAUGUCAGACAUUAAAACAUAUGGCAGAGCUGUGCGGUUUCCCUGAUGUGUCACUGUGGUUUCCCCCAGUGAAGUUUUUGAUGAAAUUAAUUCAGUGAAAUGUGAGAGGAGCUAUUUCUGCAGUAGCUGGAUGUAUUUUAAAUGGUUAACAGGCCUGUAUAGGCUUCCAGUCUGUCUCUCAGGUGUGCAGCAAGCUUAGUUAAAAGCAUAAGGUGUGUAAAAUUUAAUUGAAAUUCCUUUGAGAGAUGAAAUUGGGUUGCGAGCAAUCAUAUUUGUUUGGUGAUACAUAUAAAAGUGUGCUCAGACACUCAUAACAGUAGCUGCAUAGUAAUCAAGAGGGAUGUUAAGAUUUGUCGGCAAGUGUACCAAACAAAUGAGUAGUUUUUAGGUUCAAAUAGAGUUCAUUUUAUAUCCCAAACCUUAUCUCCCCAUGGCUGUAGAUUAAUUAUUAAUAAGACUGCACAUUUUCCUAAAAAAAUACCUUUUUUUCUCAGCAACUACAGCAAAAAUAGCAUCAAAGCAUUUAAGAUCAUCUACACAAUAUUGAUUUGCAAAUGAAUCAAACUGGGUUUUUUUUACACUGCAUGCAUAAAAAAGCAGGAUUUGAAUCCGGAGUGUCCUGCUUUACAGCAUAUUUUAACACGCCGCUUGUUUGUGUGUUGCAGGCAGUCAGGUUUUAGUUUGGUUGUCAUGCGGCAUAUAUAUCUUCAUGCCAAAGUUAACCUAUUACCCAAAGUAUCGUCGCACAUAUCUGCGAUUUACAAUCAAGUCAAUCUUAAUAGAUAGUUUGCCCUUCAUACCAUCUGUGGCAUUGUGCACACCUGAGCAUGUUUUUGUCUCGGCAUGCGUAUGUGCAUGUGUGUUUGUGCAGGCUUUGUCUGCAGGCUGGCUGACCGGACAGGUAAGAUUUUGCUCAUACUGGAGUGUUAGUUGAAAGUGCAAAGCGGCAGAGAUUCUCAAGAAAAGCUGUGUGUCCACUGACAGAAACAAGGUGUCUCUCCUCCCCCUCUUUGUCUCACUCUUUCAGUGGAAAACAGAACAGUUCUGUCAGAGGCCAAAAGAUGAGCGGGAUCAGUGUGACCUUUUGGUCACAGCUCUCAGUUGUAAAAAUGCCUUGUCAUAAGAUGAUUUAAUGUUGGUUUUUUAUAAAUGCACAGUUUUUGUGCAGGAAAUCGCUGUUGUGCCUUUGGGAAUUAGGAGCAGAAACACAGGUGGCCCUCAGACAAUGAACUCGGUCUCAUUUUUCCACUGUGAGUCAGUGGGACAGGAGAAAGCACAUGGCUGCAGAGUGAAAAUUGGCGUGAUUAUCAUCUGAUUUACCCUGCCACCCUGCAGCUUAGAGCCUCACAGUGGGCCAUUCUGGCAGUGGCCAGUACAGAGCUGAGAAGAGGCUUGGAUUUGCCCAAAUUUUCUCUCAUUUGCUUUCUGAACAGCUUCAUCCUCCCUCCUUCUCCCCCUCCAGCUCACUCAUAUCUCACGCAAUUGAUUGAAACCCUAAACGGCAAGAUCAGGCUGAGCUCAAUCAAGCCUUUCUAUGAAUAGUGGAUUGGAUUUGAAUGUGAUGUGGUGUGUCGUGUCUUUAAGGGCAUUUCAGGUCAGAGGGCGGAAGACGGUGGGAUUGGCGGGAUGGGCGGGGGGGAUUUUGUUGCCCUGCACGUCUGAUACUGCAGUGUGGCAUGUUAUAUCGUACCGUUCGGUCCUAAGAUUUAUUGUCAAGACGCUCCGAGACUCUUGUCACUCCCUAAUUGGGCCGUCAGGCAUUUUGAGAAUGUCCACGAGUAGACUUGCUGUAGUUCCAGCUUGUGUAGGGAUCUGAGGGGUUUUCUCAGCCGUAUUUUUAAACAUUACACGUGUUUUCUGAUCUGUCUCUGCCACCUUUUCAUGUUCUACCCUUCACAGCUUUGGUGUUUCAAAAGUACCAGCACUGAGACUCAGUCACAGAUUUUUUUUAUAUUGCUAUUAAUAAUGUGGCAAGCCUCGAACUGUCAGUACAGUGUGCAGAUAGUGUGUGUUUUUGAGUUCAACAAGCACUUGUCUGCGUGCAUGUUUGUUGCUCCGGUAUGCCUUUGCUGUCCCCACCAAACACUUCAUGUUUUAAAUCUCUGCACAUCUCAGUGCAGGGCAUUUAAGUGCUUGACCUAAUUUCUCUGGCAGCGAAGAAUCCACUAGUGAAGGCCUUCCUCUGUGUGUGUAUAUGUGUGUGUGUGCAUGUGCGCACGCGCAUGUUGCUCUGGGUGUUUCCUUCUUGCCUUUCUAACAGGAAGCUGAUGUGGAGUUCAACUGAGGACAAGGAAAAGGCCCUUUCUUUCCACUGUGAAUCAUUUGAGAGAGAGAGAGAGAGAGAGAGAAAAAAAUGAAAAAAAGAGAAGGGGGGAAAAAAAGGACCAGGCCGCUGCAUUGAUUCAACCCUCUGCAAUCUGGCCCGCUUCUCUCCCUCUCUACUCCCCUACUCCCCCCCACCUCUCUCUCCUCUCUCUCUCACUUAUUCCCUGCCUUUCUGCCUCUUCAUUCUCUUUACCUUAUUGUCUGUUUCAGCUUUUUUUUUUUCCUCUCUCCCGCUCCUUUGUCUUAUUCCUAUUUCUUCUGAUGUUGGAUAGACAGCAGUGUUCUGGAGGGAAUCGGCGGGUUUAUGGAGAGUUCACGAGUCCUGUGAGAAGAUGGGGAGGGGGGGAAGAGGAAAGGAAAGACGAAAAGCAAAUGAAGCAAGGCUCUAUGGGGAGCAGUGCAGGUUCUUCCGGUUCAGUUUUUAGAUACCCACAGCAAAAUGUGGCUGCCUACUCUAUGUACUUGGGGGCUGAAAUAACAUAAAACGCCUACACAAACUGGACCAUGGGCUUUAUUGAAGCAAGUGUAGAGGCACUGUGAGGGAUUGUGAACCCCCAUAUACUCCUUGAAGCUUUAAUUGUAUGAAAAAAGCUUAGAGUAGCUGAUAAACCCUCCUUUAGUGAGAGAUAAAUAGAUAAACAGCUUAAAUUUUUAACUAGGUUUCUCGCUGCAUUAAAAAUGAUACACGAAAAAUGUUUUUCCUAUAAUAUCACUGUGCUAAUACAACUGGAUUCUUUUUUGGGUCAUAAAUGUCACAUUUAUUUGAUGGUCAGUGAUUUUUUGUGUAGGAAAACGUCAGAUACGUCUGGGACACUGAUUAUAAAUCAACAACGGACAAAAGCAAAUGUUAAAAACAGCGUCACAGCACGUCCUAGACCCCACUCUCACAAAUGUCAGUAGAGGUUUUGUGAAUGUGCAGCAGUAAAGGGGGAUUUUGAGGGAUUGAAUAAGAAGAGAUAGUCUGACAAAAGCCACCUCCUCAGCCUCUUUCAUGCGCUUGCAAAAUCAUAAACUGUUUGAUUAGUAUGUCUGCAGGGCUAAGCCACAGCGUAGAGAGGAUACGGUGCUGCUGCAGCACAACAGGAAUAUUCAUGAAUAUGCCGUUGUUGUCACAGAGCAGUCAAAAUAAGUCCUGUUUUUUUAAUGAAGUGUGCUGUGAAAUAAUGAAAUAAUGCAGUGACCCUUUCCUCACCUCUCAAACAGCGUAUAGAUUUAUUUAAAAGAAGUCCGUUAUGUGUUUUAUUCAUGUAAAAGGAGAAUAGAUUAAUGUUCAAUGUUGAAAUGCUGUGAAUUUUUAAAAUAAUCUUCAUGUCAGUUGUCUCAGAGAGAGAUGCCCCCCCCCCCCCCGUUUGUUCAUGUCCGUUUAUGUCGGUAUAAAUCUGCCCUAUUUUAGUUGUCCUGACUUUGGUUUUGUUGAUGAAUUUUCCCAUUUAGAAUAACUGUCUCUGAUAUUUUAUAAAACAAAUUAUAUGGUAUAUGUCUUUGGUUAAUGAACACGUUGAACAAAUAUUGUUACAAUGUGAUUUAUGAAUUUAUUAUAUAAUUUUAUAGCACUAAAAAAUAAAAAUCUUGUGUUUGAAUAUAAAAAUGAAUAAAAACCAGCUGGUGCUCUGACCAGCAGCGCUGACAUGUGACAGCAGAAAUGUUCCAGCAAGGAUGUACUGUGCUCAGCAUGUACUGGAACACUGUGGGAGAACGACACGCUACGAAGCGACAGACCAAAUGCCUAAUCAAUCACCGAUCUUGAUCAUUUUUCCCUCUGCCGAAUCAAAAACCAAAGUGGUGAUGUUGUAGAUUUAUUCGUAGUUUUAAUCAUUUUCUCUGUGUUGUGUAUCUGGUGCAGGGCAAGUGAGGACACAAGCACAGGUGGAAGCACAGGACCUUAGAUCCUGCAUGUGAGGUAAGUGCAUCGCCAUGAUAACACACACACACACACACACACACACACACACACACACACACACACACACACACACACACAAAUGUUCUUUCAGUCUAUGAAGAAAAACAUGCUUUAACAAAUGAACAGAUUGAAUUCAGCUUUAGGAUUCAUGUUUGAAAAACAGAUCCUAAAAUGUUGCAGAGUUGGAAAUAUUAUUUUUAUUUGUUGAUUUAAAGUUGUAGCCUCUUACCUUAUUUGAACUCGUACUCUCUAUCAGUGAAGCAGCUGUGAAAAAUGAUCAAAAGGAGUACCUUACAGAGUUAAGGGGAUAUGAGAGAGAAUCCAGUAUUGGGAGUCUUUGAACCUUACAGCACAAACUGUCCUUUUUCAGUUCAUGUAAAAAUGUGAUUUGAACAUUUGCUCAAAUGAAGAGUUGCUGUGUAUUUUAUCAAUGUGGCCAAAUUUAGUUUUUUUAACGGACCACAGAAACUCAAACAGAGUCUAGUGAUGAGCUCGAGUUUGUCCAGGAACACUGAUCGCAAAGAGUCCUGCCUUUGUCUCAGUGUGAAAGAAAGUUUUGUUAAGUGGGAUUUUUGUGAGGAAAAGUGUGGAAAGAAAAAAAAUUGUUUUCCUGUUAGAUCAAAAGUAAGUACUAAAUCCUAGUGACCGUAAUUGACCUGAAAAUAAGAUAACCCUGAUGAUAAGACUGCCCUCGAAAAAAAAACAUUUUUUUUAUAGCAGGAAGACUCUUUGAAGACCAAAUGUUGUUUUUAUGGAGAAAAUUUAGUAAUUGAUAAUAAAUCAAACUUACACAGUUAAAAAAAAGUAGAUGGUUGUUUGUAACACCUUUUAAAGAAACUCAAUUUCUCUUCAAUUUCUUUUUAAAAUAAAUUGUGAGGUGAAAAUGGGAUUAAAUAUAUGACCUGUGUCUUCAUAAAGCACAUAUGGUAGUUGUAUAUAUUUUGUCAUUUUGCUUUAGGAAUUCAGUUAAACUGCAGUCUUUAUGAGGGCUGACCGUUUCGCUCAUGACCGUACUCUCAGUGCUUGUUUCAGUCACACACAUCUGCAUUUUUUAGUCCUUCGUCCUCUCCUGCUCUCUUUGGACAGUAAACAUAGAGAGACCUUCAUUUCUCUGCUGUUUGAUGGUUGUUUCAUGACUCUGCUUCAUUUGUGUUAUUGAUUUAUUGAUCUUAUAUCUUUGAGUUAUACUUGCCUAUAUUUAGAGGCAGUGAACAGAGCAUAAAAUAGGGGGGGAGUGACUUGCAGCAAAAGAGCCACAGGCUGGAAUCAAACCCUGGCUGCUCUCUUAAGGCAUCACUUCCAUGUUUGGACCUGUGUAGAUCGCUCGGCCUGCACUGCCCACACUUUCUUUUGCUUUAAUCACCUUUUAUUUUACAAUAUUUUUGCUUCAGUUGUUGGCUAACUUGCCCUGAUUGAAUCUACUUUCAUCUGAUCAUCGUGUCUCUGGUGCUGUGGUACUGAGCAAUGACUGGCCUCAGUCAUGAAGACGACACUAGCUUUACUAAUAAUUGGCACUUGUAGAGACCAAUAUUGCUUUUAAAUUGCUAAAUCUGGAAUAUUAGACAAUCCCACUUUUGUAGAAGUAUUUAGGUAGGAAAAUGAAAAAUAUCUCACAUUCAGGUGCUCUAACUUAUGGUUUCUCCCUGACAGGAUCAGUCCAUUUGUGCCAAUAAUUGCAGGGUGAAUUUUCAAGCUGAAUCUGACAUGUUUGUCAUUGAUAAGAAAUAACCCUCCUUCACAUCAAAUACAGUGUCACUCUGUAUGAAUUGAUUUCUUAAAUUCUAUAGAACACUAAGAAUCAGGGCACACAGCCCUCGUCACGUUAAAUGAUUGUCCCAUAAUUCAGAUCUUUUUUAGUAAAUGUGGAAACACAAGUUGCUUCACUGGGAUAGGGUGGGGUGUGAGUUUGAACAAUGCUUGGCAGCCGAAUUUGCAUUUCACUGAUGAAGUGAGACAGAGGAGUUUUUAGUUUUUAUUAGCUCAGCAAUAAAAUUAGCAGUGAAUUAUUCCAGACAGUUAGACUUAUUUGGAGUAUAAAGUAUAUAAAGUCCCUUCAGGAGUUGAAAUAGACAAGUUUGAUCUGUUCAGACUGUCCCCUCAGGGUGUCUCACCAAAUAAAACAGGACUGAUCAUAACUCUAUUUUAUUAAUUUCAUUUUAUUAGAAAUAAGCUAUAAUUAUGAAUCAUCCUUUUUUUAUUUGUGCUUUUUAUAUAAUAUAUUGUUAUAUAUUACAAAAGUGCCCAACCGUACAAAGCAAUUUAACAAACCAUAAAAUAGUGUCUAAAAUCUGGUCGAUUAUUUAUCUGUUUCUUCUUUUUCUCCUCCCUCUCUGUUUUCCUGUCGAGUAAUAUCUCAUUCCUAACAUCUGUAGGUUUCAGUCCACAUACAGCUGAACAGACAGACUUGAUUUUCCUGCAAAGACCACCACUAAAGAUGAAGGCAAACAGUUUAAAUUGAGCUCAGCUUCACGUUAAAAUGUAGAAAUAUGUUAGCUGCCUGUGAAAGGGUUUUUCCUGCUUCAAAAUGGGACCGAGAGUUCUCCUCAAGGAAAUCAGUUUGAGCAUCAAAUACUACAUUUAUUGCGUUUUUGUGUAUUAUUAUGCACCAACUUGUCAUGAAAUAAUCUCUGUAAUUAAAAUCUAAACGUGUUUAAUCUUAACAAAUGCCUGUGUUUACCUAAUUUUACAUUCUAGAGGAAUUGAAAUUUUAGUUUAAUGAUUUUAUUAAUGACAGAGAGGAUCACCUCCUUAACUUUACACUCUCACCUUACAGAAUUACGAACCAUCUAUAUUUUUAUUACAUCUCUUGUUUGUUGAUGCACCAUGAACUGGUGCCUUAUGAUAUUCCACCUCCAGGUCUGGAAUUCAGUUAUUGAUCCGUCAGACUUUACUGGAGCCGACCAUGGCCUAAUAAAAUAUCAGUGUGAAGAACUCUGUCCCUCUUCUGCCUCCAUCAAGAUUCAUGGCACCAACAAAUUUUUACUUUUUUUAUCCUUUCAUUAUCAAUAUGUAUUUUUCCAGAAGUACUUGUGCAUGUUGGAGCUUAAAAAUUUCACAAUAACAAGCUCGUGGGGGUGCUUACAUAAAGUAACAAUUAGACAUAUUACAUUUUACACCCUUACUUAACCAGCGAGGGAGGGAGAGAGGCGGGGAGAAGAGCAGCAGACAAAGUUUGAACUGAAUAUGAAUAUAAGUGCAGACUUGUUUUAAUUUAUGGACACAGUUAUAGGUCAUUAAUUAUGUAAUAGGUAAUAAUUAUGAAAUAGUACCACCAUUAUGUCUGUAAAAUGAUGGUUUUUAGUUCCAGGUUACAGCCUUUCAUAAUAAAAAUUCACCAACAGCUAUCCCUGGAAAUGCUGUUUCCAAUGAAAACACCCGUUGGUAUCGAUGGGGGCCUGAAGCAGGAGGACAGCGCUGAGGUGGCCACCUUUGACUUUUAUAUGCUGAUACUUUUAAAAACAAGAAAACUCUGUAUCAGGUUUUAUUUUUAUAAAGAUAAGGUGAAGCGUAUCAGAAUUUGUUCACUUUUGCUGCGUAAGCAACUCCAUUAUUUUUAUUAUAUUUUUAUUAAGGUAAAAUUAUGUUGAAAAAAAAGUUUCUGAAGGCUUUAACCUUUGCUAUGAAAGCAACUCUUUGUUAUUUUAUCGAAGUCCUGAAACUAGAUGCAUUUUACUCUGAUCACUCAAGACAGGCAGAAGAAAUAGGGAGAGCAUGGCAGAGGCAAACUACCUAACAUCGGCAUUUAGAGCCGAGGGCAAGGGUUUAAUUAGCAACAUUCGGAUAGGAUAGGAUGAAAAUAUCCUAAAAACAACAGCGAAGAACAACAGAAGAACUGACUGACAGUCAGUGAAAAUUGAGCCGCAUAUGCAACCCAGCUAAAAGGGAAGUGGUCACUGGUGUGCGGAGGCGUGUGUGGAAGGUCAUUGAGAAUGCUGGGUCUUAAUGCAGGUCAGGUAUCCCUGGUAGAAACAAAUACAACAAACUAAACAACAGAGUGGACUUCCCCUGAUAUCCCUGACCCAGGGUGGGUCCAGUGGGACAUUUGAAGACAGACUAGAACUGGAUGGAUCCCUCUGGUUAUGAUGAAGGAGCCGAUUUCCUGGACUUUAUUCUCAGAAGUAGGUUACAUGUCUGCCAGACCUCUGUCCCACAAAUGAACGCGGGGAGAUGUACAAAGGCUGAGACCGGGGAGAUGCCGGCCCCCCUAUCCUUUGUGAGAGAGGAGUGUGAGUUGGCGGGCGGAGGAGCAUUGAAAUGAGGACACCUGUAGGAGAGGGCUGGAAAAUGAUGUCUUGGGUGAACUCGACUGAAAGCAGCUGCUGGGACCAGGGACAGGGGUUGUGGGAGGAGAGCUGAUCUCCUGGUUCACACAUGCUGCCUCACCACUGAGUUUUGGAUUUAAUUAAGUCAUUAGGCAACUUAGACAUUGCAGCUUAUUUCCCAGAAUGAGAGAUGAAUAGAGGUCCACAGUGAUCGACUUUAUUUCCAGAGUUUAAAUUUGUCUGGUAUCAUAGCAAAAACUUUUGAGACAUAGAAGACAUGGUGCAAAAAUACAGACACUCAAAAACAACAUUUCAGACAUUCAGAGGCCCUUGUUAUACUUAUGAUCAGGGAUUCAGCUACAUAUUCAAUUUUAACACUGACAGGUGUUUGAAAAAAGAAAUGAGAGCGCUUCAGUCAGACUUCAUUACACCGUGAGACUGUGUUUCAGAUUUGAUAGUAAUAGACUGGAUGACAAGGGUCAAGGAUGAUGUUGUUAGUCCAACAUGUUUUUAUAGUAGGCUGAUCCACAGAGUCUCUAAAGAGGCUGAUCUUCAGUCUUUCAGCAGAUUUUCAGUUAAGGCAAAAAAAUAUCAGGAGACAUGGGACCAGGUGAGGAUUAGGACUAUCAUGUUAGUCCUAAUGCUUAGACAAAGUUACAGCUUAUUUUCAUGCAACAUGAGCAGUGUAAAAAAGAAAAGUGUCUUAGAAACGAAGUUCACCUAGCCGGUAAGUGAUCCAUGUGCAAAGCUUUACAGGGUUUAUUCUUUGUUCCUGCUUCUUAUGAUUGGUCCGCAAUGGUCCAAACCGUGUCUGUGCUCUCUCAGUGCUUGCUUGACAGAGAAUUUUUCACCAUUCUCAUAGUCUCAGUUCCUCUCAGUUGGGUAUAGAGUGUAAAGGAGAAUUUCUUUGAUAGUUUUUGCAGAGGUAAGGUUUAGUCUCACCCGCUCUUGUAUCAUAGGCAUUGACCUGCAUCACAGAUUUGCAGAUGAAGUCAGGGUUUAUGAGGCAGGGAGCUGUAAAGCUGUUGAGGAGGCCGUCACAAAAACUCUGCUUAGUUCUGGAUCCAUUACUUGUGCAGACUGGCGAGGACUGUGGGUACCUUCCUUGGUUGGGUCUACCUGGACACUCCUUGUAAGUCAAGGAUGUUCUUCGACUGGAUUUAUUGCUGGUUCUCCAUCAGCCUUCGAGAAAUACACAUCAGACCUACAUGUCAUAUAUUUCACAUGUCCUGGAAUAAAUCAGUGCUAUCCCCUCUUACAAAACGUACACCUGGUCACCAUGUUUUGGGGUUGUCCUUGACUGCAGGAAACUUGGACUGAUAUUUAUAACAACAGCAGAUGAUUUGACUGGCUGUGUGUCAUGUUGGAAACAGUCUUCCACUCAUACUCCUCUUAAUGUAACCAAAUGAGAAGCAAUCUUGAGCUCCAUCUUAGAAAAAAAUCAGGGCCCCGAGAGGAAACGACUGGAACAGGUACUUGGUUUAAAAGUUGUUGUUGAAAACCCUGGUUGUUGAUGCACAGACAGGGAGACAUGCCUUUACGGUACUUUGAUCAGGUAGAAGUUUUGUGGUUAUCUCUCGCUAUGCUCAGGCAGACAGAGGUAGUUUCAUUGAAGGUGCCUGCUUGCAUGGACAAGCCUGGCCAGUGGUAGGAAAAGCCCUCAGCAGCAAGGUAACGAAACCGUCCUUGGCAGCAGGAUGACUGACUGUCUGACUGACUGACUGAUAGGGAUGAUGGGAUCAGAGAAGUUGUGCAAGUCUGAAUAAAAACACCUGAUAGAUCAUACCUGUACGAUGAGAUCAGGCAUACUGUCAUAACUUGAACAAAAGACAAGCUGGUGAUGGUUCUCUCAGCAAUGAAAUAAACAACAACUUGACUUCUACCUUGACUUGGAUGUCACGCAAUACAUGCUACCUCAAACCUCUUAAAAACCUCUUCAGCUUGUUGUUCACCUCUUUGCAGAAGAGUGUACAGUUGACCUCUUAACCCCUCUCAGGCAAAGUCCAGUCCUUGGCUCCUACUAAUCUGACGAUAGUAAACACACGGUAUCUCUUAGUAAGGACAACAGUUGAGGCCAGGAAGGGCACAAGCUUCGAGUGAGGCAAACAAAAUUCUUGAAUCAGAGGUGUAGAGUCUGAACUUGGAGCAAGUCAAUCAGAAGUGAUGGAAAGAUGGGCUCGGGGUGAGAUCUGCUUGUUGAUGUAUUGAUAUGCUCGUGGUAGACAGGGAUCUCUUUGGGGCCAGUCAGAGUGGAAUUGCCUGUCUGGUCAAACCAUCACUAGUGUGCACUGCCAGUUUUUAUACACAGCAUCAGAGUUCGUUGAGUCUCUGUAAAGGCCAAGCUAAUCAACCCCAAACUGGGUUUCUGAGGUAAAAUCAAAGAAUAAGGCCAGUCUUCUUUAGAGACUGAAGCCAGCUUAUCCAAACUAAAGAGCAGGGUUUCAUAAGGCAUUCAGGGGGUCAUAACAUCCAAAACUCUGGCAGGCUGAGGAAAAAAGCUUAAAGGCAGACACGCAGGUGAAAGGUCAGGUGGUUGGCAAAGGUGGGAACACGGGCUCCUGCUGGCAGGAAGGAGAGGCAAAAUCUGGAGCAGGAAAAUUAAGACAUGGUAGAGAAUAUCAGACCAGAUAUACCAGAGCCACUGGUAAUAGAUAAUACUACUUUAUAUCCAUAGGUGUUGCUAGUAAAGGCAAGUAAAACAUUUUGAGGUUUUUCCAUGGUAUAAUUUUGAGCGAAUUUAUACAAAAUAUGAAGUUAAAUACAAAGUUUAUUAGUUUCAAGAAAUUUAUGGUGACUUUUGGUUGUUUUUACCCUCCAAUUUAUCCCUACUUGAAUCAAACGCUUUAUUUGAUAGAUUUUGGUUUAUUCAAUGUCUGAUUGGCACCAUGCCUCAGAUCAGGUUUGUAGUAAAGGUUGUCUACCAGUCUCUUAUUGAGAAGAAAAGGGGAAAAACCACUCUAUGAAUACAAAAAAUACAUAUACUUUGUUGUACUCAAUUAUAUGAAAUAGAACAGAGUUGGUUAUCUAAAAUGUAUGAUGGAUUUAUCUGAUAUUGAGUCUCUGGUUGCAGAGGGCCCUCUUCUUUAUCACAAGUAACUUAUACCCAUCUUCCUGGGUUUUUUCUCAUCAUCUCAUAGUGUUUACCCAAAAUUGAAGCGAGGCUACGAUAUAAGCUUCAGUGGCACACAUUAAGUACAGCUAAGGUGGAUUAAGCAGUGUUUGAUUACAAGCAUGACCGCUGGUGUCGUGCUUGAUAACCGGAGAAGUUCAGGUCUACUGGCGUCCAAUUAGAAAGUAUUACAUAGAAGGUAAUUAUGGGGUAAAGUUCAGACCAGAGUAACAUUUACAGUUUAGUGAGAGCACAACGACAAUGACAACAGAGGCGUUAAGAAACUUUACCUUUGUGCAUGUGUCUGUGCCAGUGAAGAAGUAAUGAGAGUCAGUGGUUACUCUCCUCCAGACAGACAGAGUGAACUUUGAAACUGAAACUCCCUCUCUCUCUCUCUCUCUCUCUCUCUCUCUUUCUUUGUCUUUCUAUCUGUCUCCCUCCCUCUCUAACUCUUUCCUCUCUCUCUCUGCCCCCUCAGACUGGAGGCUGCCCUGCCUCCACAGAGCACACAGCCACCGCUGCAUUGUGGCCCGGGGCCUCAUUUGAAUGGGCCUUUAGUAUUUUGUGUGAACAAGUCAGCGCCAUUUGCAUUUGUUCCAGUCACAAAGGUUUAACAGGUCAAUAGGGACUCCCUGGCAGAAAACUAACACACUAGGGUACCUUUUUUUACUCCCACCCUCCCGUCUGCCCCAUCGCUCUAGUUGUCAGACACCCGGCCGGCUUGUCCUGGUAGUAUGUAACUCUGUACUGUGCUGUAUAUAGGACUGUUGAGCAUGUGUGUGUGUGUGUGUGUAUACAUUUAGGGCCAUGAUUGGUGACGGCAGAGUGCACGGUCAGAUAAUAGGAGCUAAUACUCUCCAGCCAUUGCUGACAAAGGUUUAAUUAACACACAACUUAUAGCAGCAGCUUGUUUGAGUGACAGACGGGGUUUGUUGUGUGUCUGUGUGAAAAAAGAAGGAGAAGGCAGACACUUUCUUUGGCUCAUACCCACCAUCAAUUUUGUGUCUGCCCCCUGCCGAGUUUCAUUUCCUGAUCCAGGAAUAUUUGGAUAAAGCCUUCUGCAUAGUGACAAUAUGUGGGAGCUAAUUUCACCCCACUAGUUUUCGGUGCAAGUGCGAUGGCAGGAUAAAUGACUAUUGUGUCACUUACAAUGAGAUCAAAAUCAACGCUGCUGAAAAGUCUUGCACUUUUCUCGUUUCCUCCUCCAGUAAGUUCACACGUUGAAGAUAAAGUCUGUAGCUAGAGUCGUCUCAAAUUAUUUAGCUUUAAUAUGUGACGUUAGGUGAGGACGGGCGAAUCUAACUUUGCCGAAGGAACCUUUUCCAACAGUGAAAAAAACUGUAAAAUCUGUUCAAUAUAAACAUAGUGAGCGAUCAAAAAGCUUCAAAUAGGUCAGAUUACGACUCUGUCUCAUGUCAAAGGAAAAUACUAGCUCGCUUAUUGGUGUAGAAAUGCUUUUAUGAAACCAUUACAACCAUUAUUGGUCCCAACAUUGUAAAAGUGCUGUUUUUGUGCCAGCAGGCCUAUUUGGAGAGAAUAUCAGGAGGGAACAGAGUAUAAUCUCAUUAAAGAUUUAUUGUGAUUUUUGGAAGUAUAGCAGAGUCCCUUUUUUAUGGCUCUAUUUUCUUUUCGAGUGCAGCCUCGAGUGGCUGGCUGUGCACUCCUGUGGUGCUAAACCAACACCAAUGAUCAAGGUUUUGUGUCCACUAAUUGUUAAAUCAGUUAUGUAAUAUUAUUUUGAGAAAGUGUUAGAUAAGUAAAUGUAAGCGGUAUGCACUUGAAAUACAAGGAUAAUGGUGGUCCACCACCACUACCACCACCACGCUUCCAUCCACUCUAUGUGGGCUUUAAUUGCAGUCACUGCAGCAGGUUGUCCUGACGCUCAGAGAGGUUGUUCUGCGUUUAAAAUGUUAGGUGUUUCGUCGCUCUAACAGCCAGAUGUGCUGUUGAAGGGUCCUCAGACAGGACAGCAAACCCCCCGCCUGCUCUCUCACUUUGGGUAAGAGUAUUCACCUGAGCUCACCAUGAGAGAAAACUGUGCAGCAUUAGUGACAGUCACUUUACAUUUAGAGAUGUCAUAUGAUUGUUAUCCUCAGCCUCAUAUGUCACAGUCUUUAUCAACAUGUAGUGACCCCUGAAAACACUGAGACCCCAUCCUCAUUUACCGCAGGGACAUCGUGCUGAUGCUAAAAAAGCCUGAUCCCCUUUUCAGGGUCAUCUUUGUCAGGAAGAAACACAGGGACUCUUGAUUGUCCUCCCUUACAGGUAAUUUGAUCUAUAUUCGUGUGGAUUUGAAUCAAUAGCAGAGUAAUCGUCUGUGUAAUCCUGCAUGAUAAAACAAACCCUUUUACUCUUUGUGAAAUUGAGCAUAUGAAGAAUUAGAAAAAACACACGUUUGUUUUUAUCCUAAAACAACACGGAGGAGCUUGUGUCUGAACAAAGAUACCGUUAAGGGUACAUCGUGUUCUGUUGCCCAGCACACCCAAAAGGGUUCGACUGCACAGCUGUACACGUGCUCAGAAAAUGCACUGGCUGUAUUCACAUCAGCACAUUAAUGUUGGCGAGUAUUUGACGGACGGUCGAGGAGGUUAUUGUCACUUCCUCGUGACGGACCUGAGUGCGAAGCAUGCCUACCUGUUUGCUCUUGCCGUGCUAAACUGAGCCUACCUUUCUGCACAUUCUGAUAAGCUGUGUUUUGUCGAAUAGUUCAUGGUUAGCUGUCUGACCCACCGUAUGGUCUUCUGUUUUAUUAUCUUUUAAAACUCUCUGCACUCGGGCCCUGAGCAAAGAAAAGCAGAGAGAGAGAGAGAGAGAGAGAGAGAGACCAGCGUCAGGUGCUACAAGCUGCUAGCUAGGCCUGUAGCCAGGCCCAGAGAGCCAGACCUGGCAGCUUCGAGGCUGCGACGUGUGAAACAGUGCACACAAAGGAGCUCGCUCCAUCUGUAUGCACCCUACAUAGGCAGGCUUUUGUUGCAGCCGACAGGCACAUGACUGCUAGCAUCUUAACCCCUGAGAGCCAGCGUCUCUUUUCCCCUCUCACCACACUUCACAUGAGGCAGGAACUGCAGUGAGUUAAUACUUCAUGAAGAAAUAAGACUUUGAGUCAGCUGUUAAGUGAUUUUCUAGAUGCGCGGUGAAUCUGAGGACGUUUGGCACGAUAAAACUUCCCCAGAAAUCUAUUAAAAAUCGAAAUUUUGAUUUUGGUCAGUAGUUUUUUUGCAUUAUAGCAGACGUUAAACUUUCAUUUCAUUGACAUUUUGGUCCAAGUUAAAUCAAAAUUCAGUCAAAUUCUGUUAAUGCUAAACAGUGUUAAAAAAAAGUGGAUCAGGGCUUUAUUAUUUUAAACAGUGUUUUAGGGUUAAGUCAAGAAUAGACUAGAGAAUAAAACAGAAUAUUGUCGAGGGUGAAAUACAGAAAAUAUUCAACUGAAAAAUCUUUUAUUCUGCUGCUGUGUAGAUUUAAAAAUCGGACUUAUGCGGGUCAAAUGUUAAGUGCAUUUCAGAUUUCCACUUGAAUCACUUCAGGUUUUAAGGCCUGGCCAGCUUUGCUUGUGUGUUCGUACAUUUCUGAAAAAAGUUGCAGGAACAAUUUAGAAAUGGGACUGCUGGCUCCCGCUGGGAGACCCCUCUGUAAAAUCCAAUUAAAGAUAAAUCUCUUCCAUCAAGACUCGAUGGCUGCAGCAGAUAGGAGAAUCUUCGACCCAUUAGCACUCUUGGUUUUUUAAAUCGGAGGGUGUUACGUGGACGGAGUGGAUCAUCAAGUCACAUACUCCUAAACACACACUUUUUCUUUGCCUCAAUAACUAAUAAGAAGUGUUUCUUAUUAUUAAAACAGAAAUAGAAAUUAUUUCCUUAAUUUUUGACCUUCCUCAGUUCUGCGUCGAUACAGCAGGCUUCAUGGGGACACACUCGUGUGCUUCAUGUCUCCAAAUUUCAAGACGUUUGCUUGGCGUGCGAGCGCGUGUGUGAAUCAGGGAGCAUGUGUGUGCAGACUUGUGCUCGAAAUGAGAAAUCAAACAGCGUCCUCUUUGAAAUCGUCUCUAACCCUUAGUCAGCAGGAUGGGAAGGAGGCGACGGACAAACGGGCCGUCCCUUCUUCAGACAAACGGCUGCUAUUUUAAAAACAGCAAGAGAACAGAGAGGAAAUCACAGGAAAGACAGAGGGGUCCCAGUUAGAAUAAAACAUAGCUUCACAUCACACCACCCCUCCUCUUUUUUAACUGCCUUCCUUGUAUGAACUGUGGCUGUUCGGUCCCGAUGGGGGCUGGGGUGCGAAGGGCUCUAUCUGGGCCGAGCCAGGUCACACAGGCCCAUCCAGGCUCUGUGACGUGGCAUUAAACUAGAACCAACAGCAGGCCCGAACCCUUUAAGAGGUGGUACCACUCCCUCAGAGUGCCACAGACCCGCGAUGCGAGCCAGCGUUUGAUAAGAUCUAAAAACAGAGAUAAUUUAUUUGAUCAAUAUAACUGAUGCAGGGUGGACCCAGAAUAAGAGCCAGGAUCAGACGAGGUGCGUAUGUUAGCGUCGGGUGGAGGGGAGAGGAGGGGUAAGUUCAGAUCUGGAAAAAAAAAAAAAAAAAAACGUUUAACUAAUGUGUCCUGUCAUGUCCUUUUGCAGUCUGUAAUGUGGCUUUUGGGUCGUAUUUUUAAUGUCAUUGUCUCACUAUUUCAAAGUAACUGUGCAGAAAAAAUGAUGCUGAAUUUGAAACUAAAAAGCUGCAUUUUACUGAACUUGUAAUUUAAGCAAAUGUUUCAAUGAGAACAGAAUAAAAUAGAAUACUGUAGCUUGAUUUUUGUUUGAAAUUCGAUGUCAAGUUUUCACAUUUCUAUUCUAACUUUAAGAAAUUAAAAACUCUAUAAGAAGAGGAUCAGAGAGGCGCAAUUUGUUCCUGCUGUAAUAAUUCCCUGUGAUUAGGUUUUUAUGUCCUUGAGAUGGGCAAUGUUUUCCAUCAGGCAAAUUAGAAACCAAACUUUUCUAAUAAACCUGGCAGUUUAAAAUGACCUAGAGAGAAGAGUCUCAUGGUUAACAGAAAGUAGGACGAUGAUUCUCCCAAAGCACUGCCCUUACUUUAAUGAGAGAGGAGCUGGAAAAAAAGGACGAGCUGCAAAGCUGUCAAAGUGCUGCCUGUUUGGGAUUUAUCGUCUGUUUGGCAGUUUUAAAAGCUGUUUAGGACACUUGUCUGCAGUGAGCACAGGUCUAUUUUGUCUCUCCUCUAUUCCAACCUUUGCUCUGCCCUGCCUCACAGCCGAAUGGGCUGCGUCCACACAGAGGAGCUGGGCUUUCAGAGGUGAGUUGCUCAAUGAUUAUCAGAGAAACACAUUUGAAUCAAAGCGCUUCGUUUAUUCUUUGAGAACUGUGUUCAGAAAAAACGCUCGUAUGCUUCUCUUUUUCUGUCCUCCUGACGUCUGCCACUUUGUUUAUUCAGAGCCCACUCAGCUGCUUCACCCUCAUGUGCGUUUGAAUUAUAAAGCUGUGAAAAAACCUUUUUUUAAAGUUUCAUGAAAUCUUAAUUUAAUUUAACUUUAAUUUAAGAGUUUAAAACAAACUUGAAUGAAAAAGCUAUUCGAUCUGUGUAUUUAUGCUGCAUUUGAAAUGGUGAUUUUUAAAUUUUACAUUCAAAAAGUCUCAAAUAUCCAGAACUCAAAUGGUUAUUCAUGCGGAUGGUGAUUUAAUUUCAUGUCAGACAUUUUAUUUUUGUAUUUGGCCUUUAGAAAGAUUUACAGUUAUAUAAGAAUGUGUUGUAACGUCCUGAACAACAACCCUUUACUACACCCUCAUUUCUAAAGCUCAAAGAAAAUAUUCUCAUUCAUAUUAAUAUAAUUUUAAUUUAAAAAAUAUUAAACAGAUUAAAAAUAAUAUUUCCUGAUUUUCUUUCAGUCACAUUAAUCAAGUUAAUUUUGAAUAAUUAAGUCCUUCACUGAAAAGAAGGGCAGGACAUUUUCUAACUUUACUGUGUUACUUUAGAGAGACAAGUUUCUGUCAAAAGGUCAAAGUUAAAUUCAUGAUCAAGUUCGAACUGAAUUACAAUUGUAAGAUUUGGAUGGUUUCAAAACUUUUAAUGAAAAUCUGCUGAAUUGAAAAAAACGAACUUGAUUUUUUUUUUGGAUCCUACAAGGACAAACAGAAAAAAGGAUCAGAUUUUCAACAUUUUGUCUAUUAAAUUCAGUCCUCAACUCUCUCAAUGAAAAACUGGAUUUAUUAGUUUUUGAAUAUUUAUCCAUCACAGAAAAUAACUUUUUUCCCAGACUGGUUUCAGACUUUUUCCCUGUUUGUCAAAGAAAUGAAAAAAUAUCAAGGGAGGAAGAAGUGUUUUAUGAGUCUUAUUCUGGUAUUAAUUUCUUUCAUUUGAUACACCAAAAAAAGCUGAAAAUAAUGACGUACUUCAGCUUUCUCCAGCUGCUUAUGAGUUAAGGAAGUAAAGGUUGAAAUGAAAAUAAAACAUCAGUCUUCAGGUUUGCUCCUCGUCCUCCACAUGCUGCUCAGUGUCCGCCUGCGUGUCCGUCUGCUCCCUGAGAGACUGAAGACGUUUGUUUCCACAACACUCCAGUCCUGUUUCAGCAUUUCUUUAAUUAACUCUUUACUCUUUGUUCACUAAGGUUUGUGUUUAUUUGACGUAGGACAAACGGACAGAGCGAUUUCGCGAGAUCUGUAGGCGACUGCAUCAUCAGGGCGCCAUGUUGUCUCCUCCUGUCCUCCAUUUUGUGACCCUUUUUCUCAGCGAUUGUUCACCUGCUUUUAUCCAAGUUUCACCACACUUCCUCCAGCUUUUUUUUCACAGUAAAAAUGUUGCUUUAACUGGAAUUUCACACACACAAUCCCCUAUUUUUCCUAGAAGACCUGCCCGUGUUAUUUUCCAGUUAACAUCGUGGCUGGGUACUUUUAUUUUUAAGAAGCUCCUUAAAAAACGAAAACCUGCGGACGAGUGCAACAGGUGAAAAGGUGGAUAGAAAGGCAGAAGCUCCGAGAAAAGGACCGAGUCCUGUUUGACAAGGCGUUAACCUCUUAACAGCAGUUUGUUCAUGCCAUUAGUUAAAGCCGCACAAGAGGGUGCGUGUGAUGUAAAGUUUUAAAGCCCUGCAGUGAGAGCGACCAUGACCCACAGCUCUAUAAUGGCCGCUGAGGGUCAGGGAGGUUAAUAGAGACUGAUGUAUGAGGCCCCAGAGUGACAUCCCAAAGGAGAUGGCCCCUUAAUCCUUAUUAGGCCUCUGUGUUGGUGAUCCUUACCUUUCAAAGCAAACAGCACGCACUCUUAGACGAGGGGCCCCGGCCUGCCCCCGGCGUUACACUUCUGACCCUGGGGUCGUGGCCUUUGUUCACAGUCCUUUAGAGAAUGACCUUAGAGGUCACAGCUGUAAUAGAGAAGUUGUCGUGGCGCGUGCGGCUGAGGGGCCCCUCAGCAGACCACCUCGUAGAGGGAGCGGGCGCGGCGCACCGGUCACCAAAGAGCAAAGAAAGAGAGCGAGUGUGCGCACUGGGGUGUGAAUGUAUAGACGGCUGUAACCUAUAAGACGGGAAAACAACGGGGGGAAAAUGAGCAACUUCCACCUUUUUGGAUUCAGGUUUUAGCCUAAAAAAAUACACAACAAAUUUAGUUAUUUGGAUAAAAAUAAAUCAAACAGAAGAGAUUUACACAGAUUUAUUUUAAAGAGUCACAUCUCUUUUUAAAAAGUUCUCCUUGUUGGUUCAACUUACUUCAGGACAAUCGAUUCACAGCUCCAAGCGCCAACUUACAUGACUAACAGAAAAAAAAUGUAGCUGCUAACCUCAUUAAUUAAUUUAUAUAUAUGUAUUUUAUAUUUAAUCCACAUAUAAUAAAUGUCCUCUAAGAAAAAGCUGAUAAAAACCAAGUGAAUCUUUAAUUUCAUUGUAUUAUUUCACAGUUUCAGGUUGAAGUUUUGCUGUUUUAAUACAAAGAUAUUUGGAAGUGAGGUCUCGAUAAUGUGCGGCGUGUCUUCUUGCAUUAGCGUGUUUGUGUCCGUAAAUUUGUUGUGUUUGUUUCUGUGGAUUUGUGGGAUGAUUCAUGAGGAUGUGAAGGUGCCAGUGGUCUGAUAAGACCACCGGAUCAACAACGUGAUUGUUCCAGCUCCUCGGUGAACUCUAACUCAUUUUAGCUGCUAGACAUUUAUGACCGUGCUGUCACAUGAGUUGUGCAUGUGUGACAUGUUUACUGCGAUCACUUUAUGACUUUUGAUUUCAUUCCUCUCUUCUUUGAAUUUUUUAAAAGAUUGAGAAGUUUGAUUAAACUCGUCGGGGGUUUCUGCAGCUCUUUGUCUGCCUGACUUUCCGUGUGUGUGUGUCCGCUGAAAUAUGCCGAUAUCAGAGUUAUGGCUGAUAUUCUUAUCAAUGAUCAACAAUGCAGUCUGACCUCUCACAGCGCGGAUACGUGUGCGCUGCAGCAGAGCACGGCUUCAGUGUCACCUGGAUGUGAAGGGGCUCGCUUAGAAAAUAAUGUUUGUGGACUUUUGGUGGUGUCAUAAAUGAGCUUGUUAAUAUUGGAGUUUCAUCAAUGGCAGCAUUACGCAGGCCGCUCCUGCAGGGGCGAGGCCGCGCAGAGGGCUACAGUGUCAGAAGUUGGCAGCUGAGCCAAAACCAGAGUCGUAUCCUCAGAUGAACUCUCCACGACGUACGGUGCAACAGGCUCUGCCAAGUUUUUUGAAUUCCUGCCACAUGUUGGAUGGUAAACAACUGACUAGCAGGAACAGUGUCUUAGAUAGACGAGGAGGGCUGAGGGACUCUUCAAAGUGCUGAUGAGACACAAAUUUGUCUUCACAAUCGUUCCAUUAAAAUUCAUGCAUGCGAGCGGCGUUUUGCACACGGAGUGAUUGCAAUUGGUUAAAAGACAUGGCGAGAUGUGACGUCACGUGGUUCAACCUAAUAACUGUUUGGUGCUCCAUCUGUUUUUCUCAUCAAGUUGGUUUAUGUCCUGAUAAAAUGCGCUGAAAUUGACCCGUGUUUACCUGCUCAGAGACUCCCGUUUUGCUUCGUCCUCACAAUGAGAAGUGACCGCGUUUUGUUCCCCGUGUGUUUGUGAUACGCAGACAGUGCAGCAGUACACACAACAUGGAGAUUCUGAGUUAUAUCUGAGGGUGAGCAGAGUUAGGCAAAACAAGUGCACUCCCUCUCUAUCUCUCCCCUGCUCUCUCUCCUUCACUCUCUCACACACACAGCAGAGUAAUGCCUUCUCUUUCAGUUUCCAGCACUAAGAGUGAGGAGGUAGAAAAGACUACAACUAGCCAAGCGGUCAUAUUGGUUUGGCUAAAAAUCUCGAAUGCUCGCUUCGGUUUCUCCAGUAUUAAAAAGGAAGAAAGAUAAGGCGUAGUGUUUUCCCGCCCCGCAUUUUUUUCAGCGUGUUCAGCUUCCCUUUUGACUCUGUGUGAGAAACCAGCUAGUUAUCGGGCCGUGAUGCGAGAUUCGUCCGUUUCUUUGCGCAAAGAAACGGACGACUGCGACUUUUGGUAAAAGAGGGGGAAACAUACGCCUGUGUUGAGUUUCUUUGGGAAAGAGGAGCCUAGAAGGGAGGGGAAUGGCGUCCAAAAGAGAGGAAGUUGUUCUUUUGCCAUGGGGGAAUGUGUUGCAAACAGCUAAGGGGCAUUACAGCACUUUGGUCAUAGAGGGGAGGCGAAGGGGGUGUCGGGGUAUUAUACAGAAACCGGACGGGUGUGAAUAACCUUCAGCAGGCUGAUGCAGGAGUUGGUAGGUGUGCAUGAAGCAGAGGGGAGGGAGACAGAGAGCGAGAGAGAGAGAGAGACAGCAGGGCUGGUAUCUGGCACUAAACACUUAAAAAGAUCCUCCUCGAGCAGGCUCAAAUUAACACUAGCUUCUCUGAACCGGGCUGUUUAUUACUGUAGGCUAGAAUUGUGCUACUGGAAGGACAAGAAAGGGUGGGAGACAGAAUAGGCUGGACACUGAAGGGGGGAGGCGGAGGGGGAAGGAGGGCGCAGGACACGAGCAGAAUCAUCAGCAGAGUCCAUUUUAUCGUGCAGUUACUGCCCGACAUUUCUCCUCUCCAUAUUGGCGCUCAGACCGGCCGCAUAUCACAGUAAGGCAAACGUGGCCCUGAUAAUGGCACAGGGCGGGCACACUGCGGUAAAUAUUACAGGAUUUUACUGCGUGGUCCAGUGUUGCAAUCAUGGCGGGGCGGUCGCUCCCAGGUGCUUAUCAGGCUUUGAUUACAUGCCAAAACAGUCGUGGUAUCUUUUCAACUCAUUAAGGUGUCUGUGGGAGAGAAGAAGAAGAAGAAGAAGAAGCAGCAACGAAGAGCGAAUUCAAUCGCGAUCACGCCAGAAUUUCUUUUUUCGGCCUCUGUUAGGAGGACGCCUUUACUUCCAAGUGGCUUCCUCUGCCCCCUUGAAAGUUUCCAUCGACAUUUAGGUCAAAGUUAGAUGAAACUCCCAAAUGUACAGAUGAAUGAUUUAUCUCCUCCAUAAAUCUUAAAGUUAGGAGUUGCGAGUUGCCCCAGAAUCUUUUUAAUCAUUUGUGAGUGUGUGUGUGUUUGCUGUGACUCCCUUCCUCAGGAAAGUGCACCGUACCCCCCCCCCCCCUCCACCUCCACCCCAGCUCCCUCCCCAACCCACCUUGUGCACGCGCACGUUCGCAUCGUGCCAGUGAUGACAACGCGUAGUGCGCACGCACUCCUACACGUCCCCUGUUUCAUCAUCAGCUGAGCUCUUUCUCCUCCACUCACAGCUCUUCUCCCCUCCCUCUCGUGCCCCCUCCCCUCUCGGCUCUUGCUUCUUUUUCUAUCCAUCGCUCUCCUCCUCCUCUCUCCCUGGGUCCCGGCCACAUGCGAGAGGGUAGACUAGGACGCUGCAGCUCUGAAAAAAAAAAGAGGGGAAAAACGCUCUGCUGCUAUUUCUACAGGCAGGCCCUCCCCUUUAGCUAGUCUGUGCCAAAAGAGGGAGGGAUUUUUACUACUCCCAGUCCCAGGAUUUUAACCCUCUGCCUGCUCUUGCUUCUCUCUGCAAGAUCUUCUCCUCAAUAUCAUGCAACAAGUGGCUUCGCUUUACUCCUACUUCGACAUAACUGCGCCAUGUUUGAGACAUUUCGGAGGAGCAGCGUUGACUUCGCAGGCCGACUCCGAUCAAAUACAUUUUGCCAGUUUUCGCCGCCUCUAGGUCGUGGUCAGUAGAGUUAAACUGGACAGGGUGGAAUCUGGGUUUUUUUGAUUCGUGCCCUCCUGUGAUGCAAGGGCCUUUUUUCGAGCACGUGCUUCUCGAUUUCUCGCCAUGCUUCUUUUUACUCGUGAGCCGUCCCCGAGGAAGAAGACAGCAGCUUGUUUCCAGUGCGUUCCUUCAGCAGUUGCUUCAUUUUUUCGUACUACCUGUGCAUGUGUCCGGAUUUCUACAGAUGAUUUCUCAUGCAUUUUCCCUGUUCUCUUAUCUCUUCUGCCCUUCCUUCCUUCACCCUUCCAUCUCCAAACCUCUCCUUCUUUUUGGAUUUUUGCCCCACCCUCUCUUCCUCACGCUCUCCCCUUCUCCCUCUCUCCUUCUCUCUCUCUCUCUUUUUCUCUCUCUCUCUCACUCACUCCCUAUCUCUCUCACUCUCGUGGGCAGUCUCCAGUGAAAGGGGAGCAGGAGGGCGGGGCGACGACAGGGCUUUUUCUGGGACAGGUGCCAAUUCCAAACAAAAGACACAAAAAGCCAAAAAAGAGUGAGAUAGUUCCUGACUACUGGCAAAAAGUGGCAUGUUUCAAGAACUUAUUUGCAGGGUAGACAUGUGAGCAUUGGUAAACUGCUCUCCUGUUGCAGGACUUGAAGUUUUAGUUUGGCUUAAAGUGAGUAACUGCAGAGAUCUUGAAACCUCUCUCUCCCCCCCACCCUCCGCUCUCUUGCUCCCGUGAAGGCAUUUGAGUUUCGAGCAGGGGGGAAUAGAAGGAGGGGUGGGUGGAGUUGGGAAGGGGCAGUGGAAGGCGGGGUCAUGCCUACUCUCCUCCCUGUCGAGUCUUCUGCAUUAUUCAUAUGCCCGGGCCAGUGCUGCAAUCUGACUGGCUGCCUGGCUUAGCAUUCAGCCGACAUUCAGCAGCUCUGUUUGCUAACAUUCCUCAUUCAAAGCCUUGUUAACUGCCAGACGGGAGGAACACGCGACUCCAUGGGAGACCCACAUGGCCUCCUUAUUGUGGCGGGCCCUGACAGUUGCAGACUAGGGGGUGGCAGACACGGGAGAGCGAGGGGAGUCAGGUUGUAGAUGGUAGAGAGCAGUUAGCUGAGGUUUUGCAGGUUACCCGAGGCUUAGAGACCAGUUCUAGCCAAGGCGGCUGGAUUGACAGGGUAAAACCCAGACAGAUGGGCAGACAGACAUACAGACAUGGCGUUUAGGCAGACAGGAGGCUGGUACUUUCUGGGACUCUGAAUGGGUCUCUCGUUGGUGUGCCCGCCUACUCCUUGCAGGGAGUGCAGAGCUGUGUGACUGAAUUCGGGCUCCUUCUCUGCCCUUCUCUACAGACAGGAUAUGUGGACAUGCUGGGAGCAGCCACAGAGGGAUCAAGCACCACAAACGGCGGAGAUUUCGACGCUUUAUUCCGGAUAGCUGAUGACUGUAGUGUGUGUGCCAGUUCCCCUCAAAGUCUCAGUGGGUAAGUCAGAGAGUGUGUGUGGGUGUGGAGGUAAGUGUGUUUGUGCAUGUAUGCCUGUGCAAGUGUUUUUGUGUGAAAAAAAGACUCAAAUGCAGAGGUUUUACGUCUGAGAAAGGAUGAGACAAGCGCCUCAGUGCGGGUUUUGCUUUGCCCCGAUCUCCAUGUUCAUGUAUUGAAAACGUUAAGUCUGGGUGUUGAUUCUCGAGGACGACAUGACGACCCAGAGAGGGGAGGCUAACUGACUAUGGACGAACCAACGAGGGAAACGUGGCAAGGCCUUUGAAUUUUGGACGGAACUGAUCUAAUCUCUCCUCUCCUACGUUUUUACCUGCUGUUCGCUCUCCAGGUCAGUCUUUUGUGUGAGACAGAAGGACAGUUUUGGAGGGAGCAGAGGGGCGAGUGCUGUAAUGUUGGGCUUAGGGCCAGACUAGGCCUGCUACACAAGGCCAAGCCCCACCACAAUGCUCUGUCUCUUUCUCUCUCAGGCACUCUCUGAGUCUCUCUCCCUUUUCAGUCCUGGUCAGCUAUCAGAAAAACUACAACCCGCUCCGCUUUAAACGCCUCGAUACACGAAAACCUCGUCCUCACGAAUACAAUCAAGGUUUUUAGUCCAUAUUAAAAGGUUUAACGUUUGAAAAUGGGUCAUCGCUGACACGUGGCCACACACAGCGUUGAUGAAGCACAAACAGGCCUUUUGGACCGACCGCUUAUUAAGUUUUUUUUUUUUUACGAAUGUGGUUCACACACACGUUAUUCUCAUUUUCUCGAAUUUUCUCUACAUGCAUAAGCAAUUAAAAAACUACAAGGCAGUCAUUGGAUCCGAUGUUUCUCUACGGAGCGACUGGACCUUCGUAAUUUUUAUAAACCCAAUUGAAGAAUUAAUUUUAAGGUAAAUGGACAUAAAUCACACACCUGCUUCAUUCUCUAGACAGAAUAACACCUCUAAUAUCGUCUUCACUGCAUCGUAUUUUCACAAAAUAAAAAAAAGAUAUAAGCCACACCCCCUUCGAUGCCUCAGGAAUCCCAUCUCUUAAUUAUUAUUCAUAAAUCAGUUUCAUGAACAGGCGCUAAUUGAAGAAGCUUACACUUAAAUGGACUUUGCCUGUCGCUGUGGCUUUGUGUUCAAUACCACAGCACAUCAGACAGUACCAUGACCAGUAGGUAGGAGUGUAGGCAGUGUGAAUCAUCACUGAUAGCUCUAGUCAUCCCACCUACGUCCCACGUUACGCACUACAGGGCCUUAUGUGGGCUCCACCAUCACCCCCUCCCCUGCUCCCCACACACCCACCCCCCCCUGGCAGGGAACCCUACCUCUGCUUCUCUUAUUAGGUGUGUCCGGACCCCCUUUUCUGAGACCCUAAGCUUGGUGCGAUUACGAGCGAGUACGUCAGCAUGCGUCACUGCCGAACACCAAUCAGCUCCCACGGUGCAGCCAAAAAAAUGCAGCAGAAUCAAAUGAGAUCGUAUUUUUUUGAUUCUGCUCUCUUCUCUUCGAUUUUCUCCUUUUCUACCGUUUUCUAUCGUGACAAACGAACGCUAAUGUUUGCGCAGACUCGUGACGCUUUUUACCACCAAAUGACGGCGUUGAAUACAGAGAGGAAUACUAUUUUAAACACCAACCAAAUUCACUUUUACGUUCGUUUUUGAUGUAAAACGAUCUAAAACAUCCUCUGUGUACUUACGUCUUCGUUUCGUAUAAAUCGAAAUGAAAUAUUAAAAUAUUAGCUCUCUGAAUGUGAGUUAAGAGUUAAAAAAGCAAGAGACGAUGACGAAAAACAACUUAGAGUCUAUAAAAAAAUGCUGAUUUUUAAGAGUGAUUAAAAAAAAAAAAUUUGGAUUGCUGUAAUAUCAGAAUCUGUUACCUCUACAUCAGACACAAGGAGCCCAGAAUCACCAGCAGUGUUUCUAAUGCUAAAAAAGUGAUGUUGAUAAAAAUUGCAGAUUUUGCCGACACAUCAAAUCCUCAAAGACAGAUUAAAGAUUGCUUGACUUUGAAAGCUAACAAAAAGACUGCGGCACCACAUCGUAAACUACACACAGGACUCCUGCAUGCACAAACGCACCCUCAGACACACACACGCAGGCAAACACCCAGACACAUUUGAUGCUAUGUACCCCACAAUGAACCCUGGUUCCUGAGAUGAAUGGGGUUCCCACGCCUCUUCCAAGGAUUGCAGGGCACAGCCUCCCCUUUUGAGCACACACACACACACACACACACACACACACACACACACACACACACACACACACACACACACACAAUGCACCUACUACAGAUGGCCAUACACAGGUGCAUUUGAGUACAACACAAGCACACACUCUUGCAGUGAAAAGGCACAAGGACACAUUUUAAUAGACACACAAAACAGACACACUUAAAAUAUUGAUUGUGUUUCAGAGUAUUCACUGCCUGGAUGAGCAGUUAAAAAAAAACACAGCCGGACUUAGAUUUCUGUAUGGAAGCCCUGCAGUGACCCGCCGUCAUUUCAGUGAAGGGUUAAAUCUGUAAAUCUGUAGACAGGAAGGGGUCUGAGGUAUUAGAUGAGUUUGUGUUGUUUGACUUUGAGCUGCAUUCAAGUUACACCUCCUCCGGUUUUAGUGGUACUGUGUGUGUGUUUGUGUCUCAUUGUGAGAGUGUGUAAGAUUGAGUGUGAGAAUUUGUCGGUUUGAGGUUUGUUUUGUAAAGAGAAAUAAAAUGAAGCAAAAAGAAAAGCUUGUUCGAUAUUUAGCAUUUUAUUUUCAAAAGAUUCAGCAACAUGAAGUCUCCAAGAGAGAAAACCACAAAGUGUGUGUGUGAGUGUAAGUGUGUUUUUUUUUAAUUUUUUACAAAAUUCCUUGACAUAAAUUAAGCUUUUAAAUUUAAAAAUGUGGUUAAUUCACUAGAAAUGGCAAAUAUCAUAUACAACCUUAAAUCCGUAAUUUUAGGUUUUGUAAUAAUAUUUUUAAAAUAUGAUUGAAGGUUAUUUUUCAGCUUUUUUCCUCAUUUUUAAAUUUAUGCAGGAGUCUCACUUUGAACUCUGAAAAUGUAGUUUAUUAAAUUGGACAAAACUUCAAUUACACUCUCUAAUAGAGGACGGUACUUUGACUAGAAUGACUCACUUUGACUUCUGAGCAAGUGUGUGUGUGUGUGUGUGUAUGUGUGUGUUUCGGUGUGUGUGUGCAUGUGUGAGUGUAUAUGUGUGUGUGGUAAUGUGGUUAAAUAUUUAUUUAUAUUUUGUGUUGGUGUAUGUAAUUCAAAAUGAAAAGAGGAAAAUGUAUUUUGGUUAAAAUCAUUGAUUUUAUUUUAAAAACAGAUAUGAUUUUUUUUCUUUAAUGCUUUGAUGUUUUUAAUCUGCAACCAUUGUGAAGCUUUUACAUUUUAUUUUUAGAAACUAGAAUUAUGUCACAUUCAAAAAACAUUAAUUAAAAAUAAAAAAUCUACAAAAAUGUUGAACAAAAAGCUAACUGAAUUUAUUAUUCUAAUGAAGCACAGUAAUUUAUUCCCUCUGGUAAUUUAUGAAGCUGUUUUCCUCAGCUUCAUCCACACACACGAGUGAUUUUGGUGAUGAAGUUAUUGGGGUCUAAAAUCAGCUGCAGUGUUUGGAGCUGUGAUCCCUCUGUCACGUGUCCUAUCAGCCCUAAUGAUUCACUCAAGGAACUGCUGCCUGGCAGGUUUAUGACCUUAAGGCUACAUGGAUACAUUGGUGUGUGUGUGUGUGUGUGUGUGUGUGUGUGUGUGUGUGUGUGUGUGUGUGUGUGUGUGUGUGUGUGUGAGUGUGAGUGUGUGUGAUUGUUUUGUGAUUAUAUAUUUGCACAGCAUUUUUUUAUGAAGACCUGACUGUGUGUGUGUAUCUACAACUACAGUGACAUGCUUUUUUCCUCUCUUAUUUGCAGGGCUCGUUGUUUUCAGUUCAGCUCAAGCCUGGAAGUCAAGGUAAAGUGCAAUAUUCUGUCUUUUAAAAUGUUCUUGUCUUACAUAUUUACUUCACUCUGUGUGUGCGGGAUCCUGUGUGUGUUUGCGUGUGUGUUUGUGUGAAAGAAUGCCACCACACUGUGAUUUCGGGCAGGUCUGCUGCAGGGAUUAUGAAUCCUCCGGUUUCCUCCCCUGCAGCCUGCGUACACACAACGCAAUUUAUACAGUUUGUCAUGAGUUUAUUGAACACAGUCCGGCCCACAUUGUUCCCAGCACACAGCAGUGACUGUAGCAGUGAGCGUUGUGUCCCAUCAAAACCCACUCUGGAGCAUUGUGUGUGUCAUGUCAUCUGAAUCAGUAAGUCUGCGGUGCGGCUCACUGAUAAUCUCCUCAAAGAAAAUUAGUCGGGGAAAAAUGGGAAAAGAAAAGCCAUCAGCCUAAAGGUCAAAUGAAGAUUAGAGGGAAACAGUACACGAGGGCACACCGGCUGGCACCCGGAACUGCACAAAGGCCUCAUUGUGGCAGGAGCCCUGGGCUCUCCUCACACUCUCCUAGUGUUCGUGGGGAGUCAUGACACCUGUUGGUGACUUUGGUCAACUGCAGGAGAAGUGACCUGACGCCUCUAAAGCCUUUAUUUUGAUUUAAAAGAAUUCCUAAACCCCCAACUGUCCCUCAUAAUUUUAGAUGCAUUACAAUGCAGUAGAGACAAAUACUGGACAACAAAAAAAGAGUGUGAUUCCAUUCAAAUGAUUAAAAGAAAGUAGAAAGAAAAGUACAUGCCUUUUAUCGUACUGAUCCUGAUUCAGCAGCCGUAGUCCACUCCAACAGGCAUAUAGGGUCCGCUCUCCUCACUCACUACAGUGGUUAUUGUCAAAUAACUUAAAGUUUUGCUCCUGAUAGUUUAACACAGUUUAAGGGUUUGUUGAGUUGUGUGUCAAAAAUGUUCUUGGAAAGUUUUGCUGCAGGGUGUUUUACUUCUAUUUAAAAAAAAAAAAACUACUAUGACGUGUUUGACAGACUGAAGACGACAAUCUUUUCAGGUAACUGCUGUAGAAAAAAACAGAGAUAUGCAACUAAAGACACAAGGUUUAUUCAUCAGUCUGCAGUCUAAAUAUGAAUUCAACACUUGGGUAUUUUCAAUUCUGUGCUGUUGUUUAGGCUUUAAAAACAGCAAAUUGCAAAAACAAAUUUCCCCUCUGAUAUUUCUGCCUCUUUUAGGACAUAAUGUUGUAUCACAACAAUCACAGUGAUGACAAAUUACUUUCACAUUUAUAUUAUUUUUAAUGUAUUUAAUUUAAAUAAAUAAAUGUCCAUAAACGGGUUCCUUGUGGAUGACCCAGACAUUAAGCCAGCGACUUUUAGAGAGUGUUUUUCAGAAAGAAUUGAAAAAGUUCAUGUUGAGGUCUCUGAAUUUGUCAGACCACAACAUUUUCAGUUUUGUCUGUAUUAAAAUUGAUACUUGCGUCACUCACAUCCUGUUAUGACGCUGACAGAAAUCUCAGAGACCAGCAGAGGUAACAGUAAAAUAUAUCCUCUCCAAAUGGCCUAAAUCUGCCCUUCAAGUAAAAGAGCUGCUCCUGUGUAAACCUGAUAACCGGCUGUACACACAUCAGCAGUGUAAGCAAAGAGUGCUCUGCUGUAUACCUCACAGGCCUGGACAUUAAAUAGCUCCUGUGAAGAUUUGUGUGGCAUUUAUGGGAAAACCAGCCGGCAAUAAAAUAGCCGCAAACUGGUGCGUUCCUGCGUGUGAGGAGCUAAAGCUGUGACUCACUUUUAUAAGUCGGACCUCACCUCUCAACCUCAGGUCCUCCCUGUCGCUCCCCAGCUUAAGGGGAAACCGCAGCCUCUCCUGUCUGACUCAGGAAACUCCCUGAAACAACCACAACCUGUCUUGUUUGACCUCUCAGCCACACACGUAGCGAAAUGUAUGCGCAUUUGCAUAAAGAUUUCCUGUGACACACAAAUAAGCUGCGGGCGAAGAUUGAGGGUGAAAAUUAAACAGAAUAGUUUUAGGUUAAUGGUGCAGUUUAUCACUUGUUACCUAAGCCAGCAGGUAACAGCACAGUCCCCCCUGCUGAUUGCCAAACAAGAUCCUCAUAAAUAAUCUAGAUAGAAGACGCUCUCACUCUCUCUGUGUUCAUGUGCAUGCAUACAAACUCCUGCAUUUAUAUGCAGGUGUUGAAAACAAACAGGCACAGAUUCGACUUUUCGUGCUUUACUUUCUGCUACACUUAUGUGCAGUUUUAUGUGCACAGGGGAGCACUGUCAGUAUGUGUAGGACAAGAGGUGAAAGUGUGACCUUUUGACUUGAAGUCGCAGCUCACUCCUUCUUCUCGUUUGUCUCCAUCAGGAUGAGGAAACCUGAGAGGACGAGAGCUGUUACAUGGCACAGACCUGCUGAGAGGAGCUGACUUAAUAGACAUGAAUGACCAGUAAGUAAAGAAAGGGCAUUUUUGGAUUUACAAAAAAUUCAAGCAUAAAGGUAUGAUCGUCUUUGACACACAUUUAGCUAGCUUAUCCUGCUCUGUCUCACAUCAGAUAUUGAUCUUAAAUCAAAGAACAAACAAUCAAAACACAGAAAAACAGUAAAGCAGUGAAAUUCAUCUGUAUGUUAGCAUGGAUACGAUACAUCCUCACAAGUUAAAACAAGUUUAGACUCUAUUUUCUAUCCUCUCUAAAUAGUAUUAAAGUCCUUUACACCUGAGUGUGUGUUUGUAAAAACGUAAAUUAUUGAAUUACAAUUCAAACAAUUGAAAUACAGUGGAUACAUUAGCAUUAGCAUGCUAAAGCAAUGGUAACCUUUAGUUCCUUGUGCAGAUUCAUUUGACACAUCAGUACUUCAUUAAAAAGUUUGAUUAUCUCAUGUCCAAAGGAUUUUAUUUGGACUUGAAACAACUGAAAUAUGAAAUUUCGCACAUUUAAAGUGUGUUUUUAGUUUUUCUUACAGCAGGUGGACCGUCAACAACAUGCUGGAGAAAAACUGUCCUUUGGGGUGAGGUAGUAGGUUGUAUAGUUUUAGGGUCAUUCCCAAGCUGUCAGAUGACUAUACAACUUACUGUCUUUCCUGAAGCGACUGUGAUGGCAUCAUCAUCAUCAUCGUCGUCGUCAUCAUCACAGAAGAAAAUAAACCUCCUCGCUCCAAAUCCUGAUCUCAACGGU
This is a non-coding RNA of Xyrichtys novacula (pearly razorfish), 32374 nucleotides long. Lineage: Eukaryota; Metazoa; Chordata; Actinopteri; Labriformes; Labridae. The record is from the annotation of a GenBank genome assembly.